GUCUUGGUAGCUCGAACGGCAGAGCACUGGACUAGCGAUCCAGUGGGCGUGGGUUCAAGUCCCAUCCAAUACA
Molecule: non-coding RNA, 73 nt
Organism: Cydia pomonella (codling moth)
Lineage: Eukaryota; Metazoa; Arthropoda; Insecta; Lepidoptera; Tortricidae
Source: the annotation of a RefSeq genome assembly